RNAcentral lists this ribosomal RNA (404 nucleotides) under uncultured bacterium. Its description in RNAcentral is "bacterial SSU rRNA". It matches the Rfam family "Bacterial small subunit ribosomal RNA", at positions 358 to 773 of the family's 1533-position model. The record is from RNAcentral.
AGAAUCUUGCACAAUGGGCGAAAGCCUGAUGCAGCCACGCCGCGUGAGGGAAUGAAGGCCUUCGGGUUGUAAACCUCUUUCAGCAAUGAAGAAGCGCAAGUGACGGUAAUUGCAGAAGAAGCCCCGGCCAACUACGUGCCAGCAGCCGCGGUAAUACGUAGGGGGCGAGCGUUGUCCGGAAUCAUUGGGCGUAAAGCGCACGUAGGCGGUCCAGUAAGUCGGAUGUGAAAUCUCAGGGCUCAACCCUGAAACUGCAUUCGAAACUGCUGGACUUGAGGAAGGUAGAGGAGAGUGGAAUUUCCGGUGUAGCGGUGGAAUGCGCAGAGAUCGGAAGGAACACCAGUUGCGAAGGCGGCUCUCUGGGCCUUUCCUGACGCUGAGGUGCGAAAGCGUGGGGAGCGAAC